This 253-nucleotide ribosomal RNA is filed under the name uncultured bacterium. Its description in RNAcentral is "partial 16S ribosomal RNA". It matches the Rfam family "Bacterial small subunit ribosomal RNA", at positions 524 to 776 of the family's 1533-position model. The record is from RNAcentral.
UACGUAGGUGGCAAGCGUUGUCCGGAUUUACUGGGCGUAAAGAGCGCGCAGGCGGUCGUUCAAGUCGCGUGUGAAAGCCCCCGGCUCAACUGGGGAGGGUCACGCGAUACUGAUCGACUCGAAGGCAGGAGAGGGUAGUGGAAUUCCCGGUGUAGUGGUGAAAUGCGUAGAUAUCUGGAGGAACACCGGUGGCGAAGGCGGCAUCCUGGACCGACAUUGACGCUGAGGCGCGAAAGCCAGGGGAGCAAACGGG